UACGGGGGGGGCAAGCGUUGUUCGGAAUUACUGGGCGUAAAGGGCGUGUAGGCGGCCAACUAAGUCCGACGUGAAAUCCCCAGGCUUAACCUGGGAACUGCGUCGGAUACUGGAUGGCUUGAAUCCGGGAGAGGGAUGCAGAAUUCCAGGUGUAGCGGUGAAAUGCGUAGAUAUCUGGAGGAAUACCGGUGGCGAAGGCGGCAUCGUGGACCGGCAUUGACGCUGAAGCGCGAAAGCUAGGGGAGCAAACGGG
RNAcentral lists this ribosomal RNA (253 nucleotides) under uncultured bacterium. RNAcentral describes it as "partial 16S ribosomal RNA". It matches the Rfam family "Bacterial small subunit ribosomal RNA", at positions 524 to 776 of the family's 1533-position model. The record is from RNAcentral.